UACGGAGGGGGCAAGCGUUGUUCGGAAUUACUGGGCGUAAAGGGCGCGUAGGCGGUCUGUCGCGUCAGGUGUGAAAGCCCCGGGCUCAACCUGGGAGGUGCACUUGAUACGGGCGGGCUGGAGUCCGAGAGAGGUGAGUGGAAUUCCCAGUGUAGAGGUGAAAUUCGUAGAUAUUGGGAAGAACACCAGUGGCGAAGGCGGCUCACUGGCUCGGAACUGACGCUGAGGCGCGAAAGCGUGGGGAGCAAACAGG
RNAcentral lists this ribosomal RNA (253 nucleotides) under uncultured Alphaproteobacteria bacterium. RNAcentral describes it as "partial 16S ribosomal RNA". It matches the Rfam family "Bacterial small subunit ribosomal RNA", at positions 524 to 776 of the family's 1533-position model. The record is from RNAcentral. Lineage: Bacteria; Pseudomonadati; Pseudomonadota; Alphaproteobacteria.